This 71-nucleotide transfer RNA is filed under the name Stegodyphus mimosarum. It matches the Rfam family "tRNA". Rfam says of the family: Transfer RNA (tRNA) molecules are approximately 80 nucleotides in length. Lineage: Eukaryota; Metazoa; Arthropoda; Arachnida; Araneae; Eresidae. The record is from Rfam by way of RNAcentral.
GCCUUUAUAGUGUAAUGGUAGCACACUCGGCGAGUAUUCAAGAGGCCCAGGUUCGAGUCCCAGCGAGGGCA